RNAcentral lists this transfer RNA (45 nucleotides) under Muiriantha spicata. RNAcentral's name for it is "Philotheca spicata partial tRNA-Leu". Lineage: Eukaryota; Viridiplantae; Streptophyta; Magnoliopsida; Sapindales; Rutaceae. The record is from RNAcentral.
CCGUCGACUUUAUAAAUCAUGAGGGUUCAAGUCCCUCUAUCCCCA